CGGGUGUAGUUCAAUGGUAGAACUCCAGCCUUCCAAGCUGGCAGCGUGGGUUCGAUUCCCAUCACCC
This 67-nucleotide transfer RNA is filed under the name Harryflintia acetispora. It matches the Rfam family "tRNA". Rfam says of the family: Transfer RNA (tRNA) molecules are approximately 80 nucleotides in length. Lineage: Bacteria; Bacillati; Bacillota; Clostridia; Eubacteriales; Oscillospiraceae. The record is from RNAcentral.